Molecule: transfer RNA, 68 nt
Filed under: Marmota monax (woodchuck)
Lineage: Eukaryota; Metazoa; Chordata; Mammalia; Rodentia; Sciuridae
Description: tRNA.Val
Source: RNAcentral
GGAUUGUAGCUCAGUGGUACAGCACUUGCCUCACAUCUGAGGGGCACUGAGUUCAACUCUCAGCACCA